UGUAUGGGUUGAAGCAAGCACCCAGAGCAUGGUUCACUAAGCUCACUAGCUCUCUUAUCAGCCUUGGUUUUACAGCUACCAAAUCAGAUGUUUCUCUUUUUUCACAGAACCAAAGACUUGGUUAAAAGCUUAAAUGCUUGCUUUUCACUCAAAGAUUUAGGGGAUCUUCAUUAUUUCUUAUGGAUUGAAGGGAGGCCAAACCUUGAUGCUCUCUUACUCACACAAUCUAAGUAUAUUCUUGAUGUGAUAAAGAAAGCUGGUUGAGAAGAUUGUAAGACAUUACCAACACCUAUGACAUUAAAUCUUAGAUUAACCUCCACCAAUGGUGCAUCUUUUGAGAAUCCUAGCCUCUAUAGAUUCAUCGUUCGCAGUCUGUAAUAUAUCACUAUUACUCAGUCUGAAUUGGCAUUUGCAAUUAACAAAUUAAAGUGUGUCAAUUUAUGCAAGCGCUAACUGAAGUUUAUUGGAGAGCUGUCAAACGCAUUCUACGGUAUUUAUAGAGCACUAGUACCUUAGGACUACAUCUCCAAAAGGCCUCAGAUUUUAUCAUUUUAGGGUAUACCGACUCGGACUGUGUAUCUAAUAUGGAAGACAAAGAAUUCACGGCAGGUUUCUGUAUCUAUAUGGGUCCGAGUCUCAUUUCUUGGUCAUCAAAAAAGUAAACUUCGAUCUUUCGCUCUAGCACCGAAGCUAAAUACAAAGGAGUUUUUAGCCUUGCCACUGAACUAUUGACAAUCAAGAAGCUUUUGCUUGAAAUCAACAUAAGUCUACUAGUACUAGUGAUUCACUAAGACAAUCAAGAAGCAAUACUCCUGGCAGCCAAUCCAGUUCAGCAUUCUCAUUCAAAAUACUUUGAAAUGGAUCUCUAUUUUCUUA
Non-coding RNA from Arachis ipaensis, 876 nucleotides. The record is from RefSeq and is a predicted model, not a curated record. NCBI's taxonomy places the organism in Eukaryota, Viridiplantae, Streptophyta, Magnoliopsida, Fabales, Fabaceae.